This 69-nucleotide transfer RNA is filed under the name Etmopterus lucifer (blackbelly lanternshark). RNAcentral's name for it is "tRNA-Tyr". It matches the Rfam family "tRNA". Rfam says of the family: Transfer RNA (tRNA) molecules are approximately 80 nucleotides in length. Their secondary structure includes four short double-helical elements and three loops (D, anti-codon, and T loops). Lineage: Eukaryota; Metazoa; Chordata; Chondrichthyes; Squaliformes; Etmopteridae. The record is from RNAcentral.
GGUAAGAUGGCUGAGAAUAAGUGGCGGAUUGUAAUCCCGUAAACGGAGGUUAGAAUCCUUCUCUUAUCA